This 497-nucleotide ribosomal RNA is filed under the name uncultured bacterium. RNAcentral's name for it is "partial 16S ribosomal RNA". It matches the Rfam family "Bacterial small subunit ribosomal RNA", at positions 28 to 507 of the family's 1533-position model. The record is from RNAcentral.
GAUGAACGCUGGCGGCGUGCCUAAUACAUGCAAGUCGAGCGAACGGACGCGAAGCUUGCUUCUCUGAUGUUAGCGGCGGACGGGUGAGUAACACGUGGAUAACCUACCUAUAAGACUGGGAUAACUUCGGGAAACCGUAGCUAAUACCGGAUAAUAUUUUGAACCGCAUGGUUCAAAAGUGAAAGACGGUCUUGCUGUCACUUAUAGAUGGAUCCGCGCUGCAUUAGCUAGUUGGUAAGUUAACGGCUUACCACGGCAACGAGGCAUAGCCGAACGGAGAGGGUGAUAGGCCACACGGGAACUUAGACACGGACCAGACGCCUGCGGGAGGCAGCAGUAGGGAAUCUGCCGCAAUGGGCGAAAGCCUGACGGAGCAACGCCGCGUCAGUGAUGAAGGUCUUCGGAUCGUAAAACUCUGUUAUUAGGGAAGAACAUAUGUGUAAGUAAAUGUGCACAGCUUGACGGUACCUAAUCAGAAAGCCACGGCUAACUACGUG